GCAUUACAUUACAUUAGACAUUUUGAUUUAUUAGAAAUCGAAUUAUCGCAUACACACUCAACAUUUUAUCAUAUAAUCUAUAAAAAAUAGAUGAAUGAAACAGACUUGUAGACUGUUGAAAUUUUCAAAGCGCUAUUCUCUCCAUAAUGCGAUAAAUACUAAUUACGUGAGGUAGGCGCGACACGUGCAAACGGUGUAAUAAUAUAGAAUCAAAAACGAGAAAACCGAGUAAAAGUGAGUAUAGCUCGUGGCAAACGCGCGUAGGUGUGCACGAGGGAGGUGUUUUCGCCAGGCAGGUGUGGGCUGGCUCCGAGGGGAUAAACGAAACUGGGUCACCCCUGGGAACCGGAGGGAGCCUGGCUCGCAUCCGGGUGGAGAGAGAGAGAGAGAGCCAGCCUGUGAGUGUUGGCGGUAACUUGGUAUUAACACCCACCCACAAUGAUAUCGAGGAAGGAAAUUACCUGCGCAGGUGCUCCUUUCUCGCAAAUCUCGUAUAAAUGAUCUUUUGAUCAAUCUCUAAUGUUACGUGAAUUCAAUUCACGUUAAAUGAGUUCCCUAUGUAACGGAAAAAAAAAAACAAACAUUCAAUUAUAUAUUUCGGAAUAGUAAAAAUAGUAAAUUAUAAUAUCGUAGUCUCAGGCAAAUGAGAAAGAUAUAAUGAAGUAAAUUGAAAUAAAACGAGUUAUUAUCACAAGCUGUUGAACUUAUCCGAUUAUACGUUGAUCCGACUAUACGUUGACUCUUUAAAAUAGCUACCGGGAGAUGAGAAGUAAUGCUUGAUUCAACCACGAGAUAUUUUAACGUACCGUAAUUUAGCAACUCGGGCUGGCUCCCCUUUUGCAACGAAUGACGUCGGCAUCAGUUUAAACGCUCAUGAUUGGGCAGAAUCGAUGUAUCGCUCGCGAAUGUUAUAACGCGACUUUGCUUGCUAAUCUCUUACACCCAUCUCGCACUGACACUCUUGACACAAUUGAUUAAUAACACUUUAAAAUAAAUUCGUAAUAAUGUCACACCAUAUACUUGUCAUAUCUACAUUACCUACAUACUUCUUACACGUUUUCAUAUAAAAUAUAAAGAUUAUUAUUAUCCAUAAAAAGAUAUACUAAAAUGAUAUACUAAAAUUGAAAAUGUUGAUGUUAAACGAUGUAACUUGAAUACAAGAUUGCCAGUACAACAAAGUCACGUAAAAUUUUCUUUUUAAGUCAAGCCUUAAUAUUAUUCGUGGGCGAUAAUUCCCGAAAAGAAUCCGGAAAAGAUUUUAAAUAGAGGGCUCAAGAAAAUCGAAUCAGCUGUUGAUAAACACAACAAACGCGGCGCGAUUGCGUAAUGCAUACGUUACGUGACGAUGAGUAUAGCUCUCUUCCUCUUCCCGCACGUUCGUUAUACGUGUAAUAUAUUCACAACCUCUAAAGUACAAGGCCACGAGAGAGUAGGCUACGAGUUCACUAAGAACGCACUAUCGCGGCAUUGCAUUAUACGGGUCAACGCAGCCACUCGGAAAUGUAGUCUACUUUAGAGAAAAACAAUUUUCUCGCUCGAACUUAUUAAUGUAAAGAGAUUAAAAUGAGAAAUUUUAGAACACGCAAAAGCGUAUUAUAGACGAGAGUUAACCUUUUAACGGUCUUAUUAUACCACGGCGCUCGCACUAAAUAUCACAGUCAUUUUAACAAUUGCAACACGAUGAACCGCAUGAACCGAAUUGCUGUCAGACGAGAUGGCGACCGCCUUUUCGCAGCGCCUACUCUAGUGUACUACUUGUGUACAUCAGAGAUAUGGGUCCUAAAUAAACCAAAAAAAUCUUUUUCUACUUAAAAAAA
Molecule: long non-coding RNA, 1817 nt
Filed under: Pogonomyrmex barbatus (red harvester ant)
Lineage: Eukaryota; Metazoa; Arthropoda; Insecta; Hymenoptera; Formicidae
Description: uncharacterized LOC105431086
Source: RNAcentral